Molecule: long non-coding RNA, 262 nt
Filed under: Setaria italica (foxtail millet)
Lineage: Eukaryota; Viridiplantae; Streptophyta; Magnoliopsida; Poales; Poaceae
Description: long non-coding RNA (SITA_LNC004293)
Source: RNAcentral
AGCGAGCCGCCGGUCGCGACGAGGCCUCUUUGGCCACAGCUACGGCGGCGAUGUCAGCGUGUGCCGUGCGCGUGUGUCCUGCGCCCCCUCCUCCGCAAUCCCCAUCGGACUCGGCCUGCAAUCAGCAGACUCGGCCUGGAAAUCUCCGUUGCUCUGGUGACCGCAGCAUCCUUCAUCCAGAACCUGUUCGUCCCUGACGACGCCCUUAUCUAGGUAAGAACGGGUUGUAAAAACGAGUUGCCUGGUGCCCGCAGCAUCCUCC